RNAcentral lists this long non-coding RNA (911 nucleotides) under Zea mays. Its description in RNAcentral is "long non-coding RNA (ZMAY_LNC003333)". Lineage: Eukaryota; Viridiplantae; Streptophyta; Magnoliopsida; Poales; Poaceae. The record is from RNAcentral.
GGUACUGCGUACUGAUUAGCCCGAGUCGUUGGAGUCGUCAGAUUCUAAAUGAAAGGUCGAGAUUAGAAGCUAGGGUAACAAUUUUGCCUACUGAAUCUAAACCGUAGAUCUUCUAUUGGAGGGUGUGUAGCACAAGUGGGUUCUCUGUCGUUGAUCUGAAAUCUUGCGAACAAUAGAUUGUACCUGGCCAGCUAUACGAGAGAUUUGAUCGUGGUUGUUGCCUUUAGAUCGUGCGGCCCAUAUCGCACCAUACCUCUUCGGUGUGUUACUAUGUCUGGUGCACAUGAUAGUGAAUAAUUACUCUGUCCUGUGCGUCAGACAGUUACUAUUCACUGUCCUGUGCACCAGCCAAUAGCACACUAAGUGCUUUUCCUCCAUUCUUUCUCCGUUUGACUUAAACUUUUGGGAGGAUUUUCCUAAGACUUAAACAAACACAUUUAGAGUAUAAUCCAAUUGAUUUAGUCCUAGAAACUUACUGAUACACCCAGCCCAGGUGGAGUUGGCCGAGGCCCAACAAGUUAGGGUUGCCGGGAGCCCUACAGUUCAUUAAGCACACCAACUCAGGGAAAGGCCCAAUCGCCCCAAAAUACUAGUCCAAUGGGGGAAGGGUGGCUCUCCCUUUUAAAGUGGCUUCCUCCUACCAAGUUAAGCAAGGUGGGAUAAUUCUGAGGCUCACACGGUCGCCGUCCGACUACAAUUGGGCCAACUGGGCCAAUUGCGUCUUUGCCAACGGGUAAUAGUGGAGGAUGUCCUCAUCAUUCCCACCUUCUUAAAAUGGGCCCUAGCUCUAAUACCAGAUGAUACACCCAGCCCAGGUGGAGUUGGCCGAGGCCCAACAAGUUAGGGUUGCCCGGAGCCCAACAGUUCAUUAAGCACACCCAACUCAGGGAAAGGCCCAAUCGCCCCAAAAG